Cyprinus carpio (common carp) is the source of this 1297-nucleotide long non-coding RNA. Lineage: Eukaryota; Metazoa; Chordata; Actinopteri; Cypriniformes; Cyprinidae. The record is from Ensembl.
GGGGCUGUCGCGCUGUUUUCUGUUUAUUUUGUUAUUAAAGUUUUAUUUAAAUGUCCGCUGGUUCCCGCCUCCUUCUUCCCAACUUACGAACAGCGUUACACUGGUGCCGAAACCCAGGAGGAAGGAGGGACACGCUGUCAGAGAGCCCUUGCUGCUGAGGAGAUCGGGCAGCAGGAAGGCGUGGAGACCGCGAGUGGCUGCCCGAGGUGGUGGUGCUGGAAUGAUGGAAGACGAGGUGGGACGGAGCGCUCGCUGCCACGCUCCUGGGUCGAGGAGGGGUGGCUGCCGUCCAAGAGGGGGCUGAGGAGUCGGCCCCGUUCGCCAGGAGGCCGUAGCCUGCUGCCGUCCGCCAUGAUUGGGGAGGAGCUGGGAAUGGGGGACUCGCUACCGGCUGCCCUCGACAGGAGGAGCCGUCGCCGUCCACCAGGAGGCGGAGGAGCGUCCAUAGACAGUAGGGAGCGUCGGGCCGUCCACCAAAGAUGUCCAGUACCAUCGCAUGGCAACGCGAGUGAGAGCCUCUCAGCUCGUUGAGGACAAAGCGGCAGUGUGUCUGGGAACCGGAACAAUAAUUUUUUUUUCUCCUCUCUCCCCUCUCUCGUCGCUGUCGCUCCUGCAUCCUUCAGUCUCCUUUUCUCUUGCCUCGUCUGUCUGUCUGUAGAGCGCAGUCUCGGGAGUACUCCCCCGGCCUGCGAGGGGCAAUGGGGGUUUAUGACGAGUGGGGCGGGGCCGAGAGCCGUGGGAACGGAGCGAGGCUGGUGGAGUAAUUGGAAAUGAGUGACACCUGUGCCACUCACUGGUCUCCAGUCCCAUGGAGGAGCUCCGGAAGGAUAAAGGGAGGAGUUACGACAGUAAAGGACGAGAGAGGACCAGGCCUGGACUUUAUUUUGUGUUUUGGUUUUGUUCAGUCGUCCGUGAGGGGCUGUCGCACUGUUUUGUGUUUAUUUUGUUAUUAAAGUUUUAUUUAAAUGUCCGCCGGUUCCCGCCUCCUUCUUCCCAACUAACGAACAGCGUUACACACACCUAAUUCAGAUAAUCAGCUCGCUAGAAGUGAGCUCCUUGCAUGAACUGUUUUCCCAUUGACAUGGUCCCUACACAGUGUUCAUUGCUCCCUACUCCCUGAGCAGGGGAAAUCUGUUGAACUUUACCUCACUUCGGAACAUUCAUUCAUUCAUUUGCGCUGCCCAACGUCUUCACACACGGACAAGUGUGACAUCAUAUGCCUCUGUAAACAAAUACAAUUUAAAUUCACAUCUCGCACACUUCAAUACACUUUGAAUAAAACAUAUUUGUAUAUGCA